UGUCCCCAGGAAGGGGGAAUGCUGAGUGACCUAGCUGGAGGGCUAGGUCACAAAGGAGACACUGAGGAUCCUGGAGCAAAAGAGGAGCUGCAGACCAGAGGAUGUCUACCUCAAGAGCUUUGUAAACAGGGACCGCUAACAGGAAGCUUUGAGAGGGAGUUCUCCAGGUGAAGGAGGAGCAAAUACAGGACCCUCGGGAUGCUUUUGGAAGCUAAACUAUGUGAGCAAAAGUUCGUUAACUACAAAAUAUUGAUUGGACCAAUUGCCAUCAGAAAACAUCACGUGAGAAAGGAUCUCAGAUGAAAAUGAAUGAAUUGAAAUGUCUCAUCUAGAAGUUGUGGAAACAAAUGCAUCUCUGCAUCUGCAGUGACCUCAUCUUGCAUUACUGUUAAUAUAAAUUUUUCUUCCUAUAAGAUGAUUGGCCUGUGCACUUUUGCACUAGAUUUCAAAAAACAUUUAUUGUAAAGUGAAUGUUUUUAAGGAAUGUAAACUCAAAAUCACAGUAGCUGUAUAAG
This is a non-coding RNA of Caretta caretta (loggerhead turtle), 515 nucleotides long. The record is from RefSeq and is a predicted model, not a curated record. NCBI's taxonomy places the organism in Eukaryota, Metazoa, Chordata, Testudines, Cheloniidae.